Molecule: non-coding RNA, 314 nt
Organism: Pelobates cultripes (western spadefoot toad)
Lineage: Eukaryota; Metazoa; Chordata; Amphibia; Anura; Pelobatidae
Source: the annotation of a GenBank genome assembly
AAUUGGGCUAGCCCCCAAAAUUUUGGGACAUAUAAAAAAAGACAACUCUGUUCUGCAGAGUAGCUGUUGACAUAGUUACGCAGGCACUUUGUUGACUCUAGAGAACCUCGGGCCAAUCACACAUCCCUGUGGCAGCGACUUUGCAUGCGGAUGUCGUUCAUAUCAACUUUCGAUGCCAGUUUCUGCGCCUACCAUGGUGACCACGGGUAACAGGGAAUCAGGAUUCCAUUACGUACAGGGACCCUGAGAAACAGCUACCACAUGCAAGGAAGGCAGCAGGCGUGCAAAUGACCCACUCCCGAUGUAGGAAGGUA